UGGGGCCUUUUUGAUUCGCUUUUGCUGCUCUUUCAUAUUUGGUUAAAACCGUGGAGAGACACCUGCCAAGCAAAGGAGAAGUCGGAACCAAAACAGAGAAGCCAAGAAGAAGAAGAACAAAAGGUGAAAAGGGAUGGCUUUUAAAACCGAUGGCACCAGCGGCAGGGAUAGCGCCUGAACGGACGGCGGAGGCGGCGUUGUACAGCGGCUAAGCCACUGACGGCGGUGCCUCAAUUCGACGUCGGAGAGCAGCGGCAGUGAAGCUGCGGCCAGGGGUUUUGAAAACAAAAAAAUAAAGUAGAAGAGAAGAGGAAAACGGCGGUGAACGCGGUUGGAGAAGACACCGGAAGGUCGAACGGCGGUUCUAGAGCUUAGGAGGCGGAGCCGCCGACGGCACAAAGGAGAGGCUAGGGUUUUCCGUUGAGAGGAGGAGAAGAGAAAGGAAAUAAAAAGAACAAAAAAUAACAGAAAAGAUAGAAAGAAAGAAAAAAGAAUAAAAGCAAUAUCGUGGUGGGCCCACGCUUUAUGAAAAACUCUGCAACCUCUCGUGAAUUUGAGCCAAAUAUUGGCUUCCGGGAAUAUUCAUUUUAAGUCCCUAAAUAUUUUGAAGUAGUGCUAUUUAGUCCCUGUAAAAAGGAGGCCCAAUAACCGUUUGGCCCAUCUUUGGAGAACGGCCCAAUUCUUGGCGCGGCCCAUUAAGCAGACCAAUAUUUUUGGGCUUUGGUUACUUUCUCUUCUUUUAAAUAGCCCAUCUAUAUAUUAAGUUGAUUUAUUUUA
Long non-coding RNA from Gossypium raimondii (Peruvian cotton), 777 nucleotides. RefSeq lists it as uncharacterized. The transcript is spliced from 2 exons. The record is from RefSeq and is a predicted model, not a curated record. NCBI's taxonomy places the organism in Eukaryota, Viridiplantae, Streptophyta, Magnoliopsida, Malvales, Malvaceae.